GGUGCUCUCAGUCUUGAAGUCUCAGUGGGUUCCCCCCGGGAGGGGGAGGGAGAGAGGCAGGUGUCCUUAACGACUCUCCUGCCUUCCAGCCGGUGGAGGUGCUGGCUUGGGCUCAGUUACCACAAUACAGAUGGGGAAGAGCCCUUUGGCUUGCUUUGUUUUUGAGUUUCAAGAUCUUCCCAGAAUAAGAAGGCUGAAGACCCCCACCCCCAUCCGUGCCAUCAGCAGCCUGCCUCACCUGCUGUCUGACUGGGCCACCUCGAGUUGGGACAGCUACCCUUCUACUGGCCCAUUCCCAGCUCCCUGACACAGUCGAGGAAACUGAGGCUCUGAAAAAUGCAGUUACAUCGCAGAGGAUUCUCUGGUAGGCACGUGAAGUUGGGCAUUCAUUCCAGGCACAGGUAGAAAACCCAGGGCUGUUGUUAAACUGAGAUGAGCCACAUAGAAUGUGAAAAAGAAAGUUUAGGGAAAGUAGCAAUGCUUACUAGAGAAGACUGCUGAUGCUGCCAAUAACUACGGAGUGUGAAUCUGACGUACCUGAUUCAACCGUAACCAGAGGGGCAAACAGGGAGUCAGCAUGUGUAUUUCUACUGAAAUAUCGAGUAGAAGUUUCUUUUAGUAACAUCAAUGGGAGACUUCCCUGAUGGUCCAGUGGCUAAGACUCUGAGCUCCCAAUGCAGGGGGCCCUAGUCCCAUCCCUGGUCAGGAAACUAGAUCUCACAUCCUGCAAAUGAAGACCCAGUGCAGCCUUAAAAAAAGUAUUGACAGGGAUACCUAGUCCACUGACCAACUUAAAAUC
Molecule: long non-coding RNA, 799 nt
Organism: Bos taurus (domestic cattle)
Lineage: Eukaryota; Metazoa; Chordata; Mammalia; Artiodactyla; Bovidae
Source: Ensembl